This 391-nucleotide unclassified non-coding RNA is filed under the name Hevea brasiliensis (rubber tree). Lineage: Eukaryota; Viridiplantae; Streptophyta; Magnoliopsida; Malpighiales; Euphorbiaceae. The record is from RNAcentral.
AAUCAAAGAGGCACCUAUUUUCCUUUGUUCCCAUGGAACCAAAGGGCCCAAAUCACCAUCAACAAGAGUUGCCCACCUUCUUGAAUCCUCCCCCAAAACCAACCAUGGCAGAGAACAACAACAGCAACAGCAAUAGCAACAACAAGAACCCUGCAGAGAUCAAGGAUUUCCAAAUUAUGAUCGCAAAUAAAGAUGAUAACAAGAAGCAACUAGCACCCAAGAGAAGCUCCAACAAAGACAGGCACAAGAAAGUAGAUGGUAGAGGAAGAAGGAUAAGGAUGCCAGCUCUUUGUGCCGCAAGGAUUUUUCAGUUGACAAGAGAAUUGGGUCAUAAAUCUGAUGGUGAAACAAUUCAGUGGCUGUUACAGCAAGCUGAACCAUCGAUUAUUGC